UACGUAGGUGGCAAGCGUUGUCCGGAUUCACUGGGCGUAAAGCGCGCGCAGGCGGUCUUCUACGUCUGGGGUGAAAACCCGGGGCUCAACCCCCGGGACUGCCUUGGAUACGGGAAGACUUGAGGAUCGGAGAGGCAAGGGGAAUUCCACGUGUAGCGGUGAAAUGCGUAGAGAUGUGGAGGAACACCUGUGGCGAAGGCGCCUUGCUGGCCGAUUUCUGACGCUGAGGCGCGAAAGCGUGGGGAGCAAACAGG
RNAcentral lists this ribosomal RNA (254 nucleotides) under uncultured bacterium. Its description in RNAcentral is "partial 16S ribosomal RNA". It matches the Rfam family "Bacterial small subunit ribosomal RNA", at positions 524 to 776 of the family's 1533-position model. The record is from RNAcentral.